UAGGGGGCAAGCGUUAUCCGGAUUUACUGGGUGUAAAGGGAGCGUAGACGGCCAGACAAGUCUGAAGUGAAAGCCAGGGGCUCAACCCCGGGACUGCUUUGGAAACUGCCCGGCUAGAGUGCUGGAGAGGUAAGCGGAAUUCCUAGUGUAGCGGUGAAAUGCGUAGAUAUUAGGAAGAACACCAGUGGCGAAGGCGGCUUACUGGACAGUAACUGACGUUGAGGCUCGAAAGCGUGGGGAGCAAA
This 245-nucleotide ribosomal RNA is filed under the name uncultured bacterium. RNAcentral describes it as "partial 16S ribosomal RNA". It matches the Rfam family "Bacterial small subunit ribosomal RNA", at positions 528 to 772 of the family's 1533-position model. The record is from RNAcentral.